This 72-nucleotide transfer RNA is filed under the name Flavobacterium sp. RNAcentral describes it as "tRNA-Asn". It matches the Rfam family "tRNA". Rfam says of the family: Transfer RNA (tRNA) molecules are approximately 80 nucleotides in length. Their secondary structure includes four short double-helical elements and three loops (D, anti-codon, and T loops). The record is from RNAcentral. Lineage: Bacteria; Pseudomonadati; Bacteroidota; Flavobacteriia; Flavobacteriales; Flavobacteriaceae. RNAcentral also lists the same sequence under 1 other name.
GAUUUUGUAGCUCAAUGGUAGAGCGGUUGAUUGUUAAUCAAAAGGUUACAGGUUCAAGUCCUGUCAAAAUCG